This 543-nucleotide ribosomal RNA is filed under the name Triticum aestivum (bread wheat). RNAcentral's name for it is "partial small subunit ribosomal RNA". Lineage: Eukaryota; Viridiplantae; Streptophyta; Magnoliopsida; Poales; Poaceae. The record is from RNAcentral.
AUGGGCUCAUCCCGGACGGGGCUCAUUCUUGACGAGGCUCAACCCGGACAGCUCAACCCGAACAGGCAGAACUCGGCCAGGGAGAACCCGGACAGGGAGGACCAGGACAGGGUCAACCUGGAUGGGCUCAACCCGGCCAGCUCAACCCGGCCAGGGUCAACCCGACGGAGGUUAACCCGGCUAGGGACAACCCGGACAGGUCAACCCAGCCAAGGUCAACCCAGACAGAUCAACCCGACCAAGGUCAACCUGGCCAGGGUCAAUCUGGAUAGGUCGACCCGGUCAAGGUCAACCUGGUCAAGGUCAACCCGGACAGGUCAACCUGUCCAAGGUCAACCCGGCCAGCGUCAACCUGGACAGGUCAACCCGGCCAAAGUCAACCCAGCCAUAUUCAAGCCAUCCAAGUUCCAGCCAGCCAGGGGGCACUCCCCUGGCAAUGUUUUGAAGCGUCGUUUCACCGUCUUGGGCAUAUCCGGGGGUCAUCCCCCCGAUAGUAGCCUCCAAGCCUCCGGGCAACUUGGAAAAUUUCACGGAGGGUUUUAG